Molecule: ribosomal RNA, 1100 nt
Filed under: Pinochius sp. CW-2013b
Lineage: Eukaryota; Metazoa; Arthropoda; Insecta; Hemiptera; Schizopteridae
Description: eukaryotic LSU rRNA
Rfam family: Eukaryotic large subunit ribosomal RNA
Source: RNAcentral
AGUGCAACCUUAAGUUGGUGGUAAGUUCCAUCUAAAGCUAAAUAAUACCACGAGACCGAUAGUAAACAAGUACCGUGAGGGAAAGUUGAAAAGAACUUUGAAGAGAGAGUUCAACAGUACGUGAAACCGUUUAGGGGUAAACGGAAAAGAACUGAAAAUCCGAAAAGGGAGAUUCACGUCUUGUCAUAUGUUAAAAUAUAGUAUGUUUUAGGAUAAUUAUAAAUCUAAUCAAUUUUUAUUGUUUUAGUAAUUUUUAAUUGCCUAUAACUAUUAUAAAUAACAAUGGAAGACCGCAAUUCUCUCUAAGUAGGACGUCGCGACCCGCUUGUUUUUAAUUUAAGAAUUAAUUCGUAUAAAGCUUUAUUAUAAUAGAAAUAUUAUAGUAAAAGAAUUAUUUUCUAAUUAAUUAACAGGCGGUAUAAAACGAUAGUGGUAAACCGCUUUAUGCGUUAAUUUAGUUGUACAUUUAUUAUUUUUAGUUUAUUAGGAUAAUGUUCCUAAUUUACUAUAAUAAUUAUGUUAACUUUAUAUUAACAUGGUUUACAACACUAGUCGGCGGCGCUACAGUUUCAGUAACUUUUCCGACCCGUCUUGAAACCCAAGGAGUCUAACAUGUGCGCAAGUCAUUGGGUUUUAAAACCUAAAGGCGUAACAAAAGUAAAGUAAGCUUUGCUUUAUUAGGGAGGAUGGUUAUUAUUUAUAGCUCGCACUCCCGGGGCGUUAAUAAUUCAUUGCGAAUUAAGGCGCACCUAGAGCGUACAUGUUGUGACCCGAAAGAUGGUGAACUAUGCCUGGUCAGGAUGAAGCCAGGGGAAACCCUGGUGGAGGUCCGUAGCGAUUCUGACGUGCAAAUCGAUCGUCAGAGCUGGGUAUAGCGGCGAUAGACUAAUCGAACCAUCUAGUAGCUGGUUCCCUCCGAAGUUUCCCUCAGGAUAGCUGGUGCCAAUGAUGAUUUUGAGUCUCAUCUGGUAAAGCGAAUGAUUAGAGGUCUUGGGGUUGAAACGACCUCAACCUAUUCUCAAACUUUAAAUGGAUGAGAACCUUUGCUUUCUUAAAAAUGAAGCAAAGGAUUCGGAUCUAGGUACCAAGUGGGCCAAUUU